This 208-nucleotide long non-coding RNA is filed under the name Capsicum annuum. Its description in RNAcentral is "long non-coding RNA (CANN_LNC008394)". The record is from RNAcentral. Lineage: Eukaryota; Viridiplantae; Streptophyta; Magnoliopsida; Solanales; Solanaceae.
UGAUAGCCUAAAGGACUAUCAAACACGAAAUGGACACUAAAGGAACAAAAAUCAGCAAGUUCACAAAGAGAAAACAACACACUAGAAGGAGAUGAAGAAGAAGAAUUGCAUGAAAUUAAAGAUAGAUAGAGAGACCCUCACUUCCACCAAUGAAUAGCACUAGAAGGUGUAUCAAACCUUCAAACACACAUCACCAAUGUAAGAUCAA